UGGGUAACCUGCCUCAAAGAGGGGAAUAGCCUCCCGAAAGGGAGAUUAAUACCGCAUAAUAUGUUUAAGUCGCAUGACUUUAACAUCAAAGGAUUUUUCUUUUAGAACUUCCACUUUGAGGUGGACCCGCGGCGCAUUAGCUAGUUGGCGAGGUAACGGCUCACCAAGGCAAUGAUGCGUAGCCGACCUGAGAGGGUGAUCGGCCACAUUGGAACUGAGACACGGUCCAGACUCCGUAGGGAG
Molecule: ribosomal RNA, 243 nt
Filed under: uncultured bacterium
Lineage: Bacteria
Description: partial 16S ribosomal RNA
Rfam family: Bacterial small subunit ribosomal RNA
Source: RNAcentral